AUUUGGACCCAGGUUUACUGAAGAACUGGAACAACACAGAGAAGAUUAGUAUGACCCUUAUUUAAGGAUGAUGAUAAAUGAAGAGAUCCAAAAUUUU
Ochotona princeps (American pika) is the source of this 97-nucleotide small nuclear RNA. NCBI's taxonomy places the organism in Eukaryota, Metazoa, Chordata, Mammalia, Lagomorpha, Ochotonidae. The record is from Ensembl.